AGUGAACGCUGGCGGUAGGCCUAACACAUGCAAGUCGAACGGCAGCACAGUAAGAGCUUGCUCUUACGGGUGGCGAGUGGCGGACGGGUGAGGAAUACAUCGGAAUCUACUUUUUCGUGGGGGAUAACGUAGGGAAACUUACGCUAAUACCGCAUACGACCUACGGGUGAAAGCAGGGGAUCUUCGGACCUUGCGCGAUUGAAUGAGCCGAUGUCGGAUUAGCUAGUUGGCGGGGUAAAGGCCCACCAAGGCGACGAUCCGUAACUGGUCUGAGAGGAUGAUCCGCCACACUGGAACUGAGACACGGUCCAGACUCCUACGGGAGGCAGCAGUGGGGAAUAUUGGACAAUGGGCGCAAGCCUGAUCCAGCCAUACCGCGUGGGUGAAGAAGGCCUUCGGGUUGUAAAGCCCUUUUGUUGGGAAAGAAAAGCAGCAGGUUAAUACCCCGCUGUUCUGACGGUACCCAAAGAAUAAGCACCGGCUAACUUCGUG
RNAcentral lists this ribosomal RNA (492 nucleotides) under uncultured bacterium. RNAcentral's name for it is "partial 16S ribosomal RNA". It matches the Rfam family "Bacterial small subunit ribosomal RNA", at positions 29 to 507 of the family's 1533-position model. The record is from RNAcentral.